UCGUAACAAGGUUUCCGUAGGUGAACCUGCGGAAGGAUCAUUACUGAUUUGCUUAAUUGCACCACAUGUGUUUUUCUUUGAAACAAACUUGCUUUGGCGGUGGGCCCAGCCUGCCGCCAGAGGUCUAAACUUACAACCAAUUUUUUAUCAACUUGUCACACCAGAUUAUUACUAAUAGUCAAAACUUUCAACAACGGAUCUCUUGGUUCUCGCAUCGAUGAAGAACGCAGCGAAAUGCGAUACGUAAUAUGAAUUGCAGAUAUUCGUGAAUCAUCGAAUCUUUGAACGCACAUUGCGCCCUCUGGUAUUCCGGAGGGCAUGCCUGUUUGAGCGUCGUUUCUCCCUCAAACCGCUGGGUUUGGUGUUGAGCAAUACGACUUGGGUUUGCUUGAAAGACGGUAGUGGUAAGGCGGGAUCGCUUUGACAAUGGCUUAGGUCUAACCAAAAACAUUGCUUGCGGCGGUAACGUCUACCACGUAUAUCUUCAAACUUUGACCUCAAAUCAGGUAGGACUACCCGCUGAACCUAAGCAUAUC
Molecule: unclassified non-coding RNA, 536 nt
Filed under: Candida albicans
Lineage: Eukaryota; Fungi; Ascomycota; Pichiomycetes; Serinales; Debaryomycetaceae
Description: sequence contains 18S rRNA gene, ITS1, 5.8S rRNA gene, ITS2, 28S rRNA gene
Rfam family: 5.8S ribosomal RNA (bases 183-336)
Source: RNAcentral